Molecule: ribosomal RNA, 222 nt
Filed under: Burkholderia vietnamiensis
Lineage: Bacteria; Pseudomonadati; Pseudomonadota; Betaproteobacteria; Burkholderiales; Burkholderiaceae
Description: partial 23S ribosomal RNA
Rfam family: Bacterial large subunit ribosomal RNA
Source: RNAcentral
GGUCAAGCGAACAAGUGCAUGUGGUGGAUGCCUUGGCGAUCACAGGCGAUGAAGGACGCGGUAGCCUGCGAAAAGCUACGGGGAGCUGGCAAACGAGCUUUGAUCCGUAGAUGUCCGAAUGGGGAAACCCACUCCUUAUGGAGUAUCCAUGGCUGAAUACAUAGGCCAUGUGAAGCGAACGCGGUGAACUGAAACAUCUAAGUAACCGCAGGAAAAGAAAUC